CGUAGGGGCGAGCGUUGUCCGGAUUUAUUGGGCGUAAAGAGCUCGUAGGUGGCUGUUCAAGUCGGGUGUGAAAUCCCAAGGCUCAACCUUGGGUCUGCAUUCGAUACUGGGUGGCUUGAGUCUGGUAGGGGGACCUGGAAUUCCUGGUGUAGCGGUGGAAUGCGCAGAUAUCAGGAGGAACACCGGUGGCGAAGGCGGGGUCCUGGGCCAGUACUGACGCUGAGGAGCGAAAGCGUGGGGAGCAAACAGGAUUAGAUACCCUGGUAGUCCACGCUGUAAACGAUGGGUGCUAGGUGUGGGGGGUUAGUCGACUCCUUCCGUGCCGCAGCUAACGCAGUAAGCACCCCGCCUGGGGAGUACGGCCGCAAGGCUA
RNAcentral lists this ribosomal RNA (373 nucleotides) under uncultured organism. Its description in RNAcentral is "bacterial SSU rRNA". It matches the Rfam family "Bacterial small subunit ribosomal RNA", at positions 526 to 896 of the family's 1533-position model. The record is from RNAcentral.